Molecule: RNA transcript, 4876 nt
Organism: Populus euphratica (Euphrates poplar)
Lineage: Eukaryota; Viridiplantae; Streptophyta; Magnoliopsida; Malpighiales; Salicaceae
Exons: 7
Source: RefSeq, a predicted model, not a curated record
AAUUGCAAACACCAUAGUGGGUCCUACACGUAACCAUGGAUUUUGGGGGACUGUCUGAAAAUUCAUUAAGAAACGUGGCUUACGUCCACAUUUCAAUGUUAAGCUCUCCCACUACCUUGUUUUAGCCAAGUUUCUCAUUUUUUCUCCCUCUAAAUACUGUUAACGACACAGCACAUCUUUUGUUUCUUUUUAGUUUAAUGGGAAACAUAUCAUGUCUAGAACCAUGUAUUAGUGUUAGUGGUUAAGUUUCCUCCUCCUUUUGUGUGUUCUUUACGUGUUUCUUUGGGUGCUAGAUAAGCUAAAAAAUCUAAGCUCUUGGCUUUCUUGGGAAUCAGAGUGUGAUUGAACUGGGUUUUGGUUCUUGGAUCCGUUUCUUCUGAUUCCUUUGGGAUAGGAGUGCUGAUGGUAGCCGUUCAAAUCGCUUUUCAGAUUCCUUUGGGAUACGAAUUUGGCAAGAAGAGGCUUAUCUGAUAUGCUGCAGCUUUCCAAUUUAUAUCAAAUACUUGGAGACAGAAAAUGAAAACAAAGUUGUCAGCCAUUACUGUGCUUUGCUAGAUUGGAGGCUCAAGAUGGAUGAUACAUUUGCCAAUGCUCAAAAAGAUGGCCUGGGCAAAGAGGAUUCAUUGCAUAGCUUAAGCCAUGAUAGUGAAUUAUCUGGUGACCACGAGCUGGAUUGUUCCCAAUCAAAAUCGAGUAGGCUGACAAGAAGGGUAAAUUCACAUCAGUAUCUGCAUUUAAAAGUUAAGCAACUUCAACGCAGUAGAAGUUGCAUCAAAGAUUCUUUCCUUCGAAGCAUUCAUGUCUUAGACAAUUGGAUUCCAAAGCAUAUAAUAACAAUCGAUGAGAAAUAUCUUCGUCGUUGCCUAGAAUUCAUACAUGCCAGUACUUCUCAAGCGGCUCCAUGCAACGCCUCUAUGUACUUGGAUUGGGGAAACAUGGGGCUUUUCUCUGAUGGCCUGAAUAUAGCUAAAAUUGGGAAUCAAAAUACAUGUAGUUCGGCUGGGUUUGAUUUUGACUGUCCAUUGGCUGGGACCGGGAGUGUAGUCAUUAGCCCUGCAGAACAGUGGAUUGCUGGUUCAAUCAUGGGUAGCAAGAGCAUGGUGAAUAUACUGAAGAGUCCUUUAUUGCGCAGAUAUGGUGCAUAUGAUGGUGAUGCCAAUUUUGAGAAAGUGACUUCCAGCGAUGUUAAAGGAUCAAUAUGUUACGAUUUUAUGAAUUCUCCUGGUGCGUUAAGUAGUUAUUCACCACAUGAGCUCGAUAACGGAGCACGAACUCCAGGAAGCCAUAAAUAUGAAUCAGAGAGUUUGCACAAAAGGUUUGUUUCUAUGUCGAGUACAAACUCUACUUGUUCUGAUCAGUCCUCUUCUUCUCUCCCUGCUGCUGUUACUCAGGGGACGCUCCAGUGCACGUGGAAGGGGGGAAACCCACAUUUCAUCUUCUCCUUGGACGAUCAGAAGGUGGUCUACGUGGCCAACUUUUAUAAUGUUAAUUCAGCAGAUGAUAAGGCUCUAGAGUACGUGUAUUUAUUCCAUUCUAGAAAAGGUGGCCAAAGGGAACAUAUGAUUCAUGAUAAAGAGUCUCACCUUGUAGGUCAGAUGAACGUAUCAACUUCUUUUACUCUUUGCCCAAACAAUUGUAGAAUCACGGAGAGAGAAUUUGUUUUGUUCGGUUGUUAUGAAAAUUUAGUGGGAGAGUUGCGAAGUUCAAGCCAUGACCUCAGGAAGAACAAGGGAUUGUCAAGCAGGGUGGUGGAAGUGUUCAGGACCACCAACUCAUUCAAGAAGAGAACUAACUCCAGAUAUGAUGGAUCUGGUGCAAUACUGGAGAAUUCUUCUUGGGAGCCUUUUCAAGAGAGAGAAUACAACAUGGACGCGCUUGGUGGGACUAAUCUCUUAGAAAAUCAUCUUCCCCCAAAUCUUGAAUUGGCGGCCAUUUUGGUGAAAAAUCAUCUUCCUGAGAAGCGUCCAGAGAAGACUGGAGGUUGGGGUUUGAAUUUUCUCAAGAACACGGCUGUAACGCAAGCCAAAGAUACGAAGGAAUCCUCAGUACUUUCUGCCUGUUGUGCCCGAGAUACCGGUGAUUGCUCAACAAGCACUGAUAUUCUCAUUCCAGCUGGUCUUCAUGGAGGUCCAAGGACCAGAAAUGGUGGUCCUUCCAGUCUUAUUGAUAGAUGGAGAUCAGGCGGGUACUGUGAUUGUGGUGGCUGGGAUCUAGGGUGUCCGUUAACAGUACUCAAAAGCAGAUCAACCAACAAGGAGUUUUCAUCCUCUGCAGAUAUGCAGGGGGAGUGCAAGUUAGUUAAUUUGUUCAUACAGGGUUCAGAGAAUGGUGCUCCCCCUUUGAGGAUGGUGAAUGUCCAUGAUGGCAUGUAUUCUGUGCAUUUUCAGUCAACAUUGUCAGCUCUGCAGUCUUUCUCAAUAGCAGUGGCAUUUAUCCAUAGCCAAAAAGUCCCGCACUCCAACCAUAAUACGUACAGAAGUUAAAGUAGGAAGAUUCAUGUUUCAGCUUGAUGUAGUUGUAACCUCUUACUGUACUACAGCGCUUCGGUAGAUGGAGGGCAUGUGCUUCUUAAAUGGCUGAAGUCACGUUGCUUUACAAGAGCGCAAGUUAAGCAGUCAAAGUUAUCGUUUUUCAAGUGGAAAUAGCUGAGAUCCUUUUGUGGCUCAUGAUGCUUCAUAUUACUGCAUGGUUCCCAAUCAUGAAUCUAAACCUGUCAAUGUGCGGAUUGCAGGCCUCUUUCACUUGCACUUUGCAGGUAAUGUGAGCUCCAGCUGUUGCUAUUUUGCAGUGGUUAUUUUAGAUUAGAGUUUUUCUCUGCUUAAUCAUAUACACACAUAAAAUGCAUGUCCUAAGGGGCUAAUUGCAAUUUUUCUUAGUAUAUGAACAGCUCCCACUAUGGUGGUAGAUACUGCAGUUUCCGUUGAGCUUUGUUAUGGUUACUUUGGGUUUAUUUAUGUAGCCUUACUGUGCUCACAUACAAGAGUAGCUUUUGAAACUCUGUCCUUUGGGGACUCCUUACUUUUUUCAAAAAUUUUACAUCUAAUUCUUUACAUUUUAAGCAGCGCAUUUUGAACAAUAACAUGGUUAGCAUGCAGUAUCACCCAUCAGGCACAUGAUCACGUUCAGGAGUCAUUUUUCUUUAGAAGUUUUAGAUAUAGAUCGCAAAGAUCAAUUUUGGCAUUUCCUGGCAUGACAUGAUAUUGAAUUCCCACGAGCAUACCCUCGCAUUUUCUUUUCUAAGAUAUUCUUAUCACUGUUAAGUAUGAGCAGCUCAUUCUGAAACCCACGUUGUUUUGAGAGAACUGGGAAAGUUCAGUUUCAACUUUUCUUAUAUCUUUGUAGUGCAUGUUUAUGCUGCUGGUUCAUCUUCAACCAGGCUUUAUUUUUAUGUAGCCUUGGGUUGGUUGACUUGGUCAGUUCUGCGUUGAAGGUUCAAUAUCUCAAGAUGUUUCCAGGGCAAACUUAAGGAGUUAAUGGCUGGGCUGAUCUCAAAAGCUGGUGGGAAUUGGCACAUGGUUAAAGCCUAAAGAUUCUAUUUCACUUGUUUAAUGAUCUUCUAUUAUCAUAUCUAUGCAGUUUACUCUUUUUUCUGAUAAAAUCUAGGGAGUGAAACUCUGCAUAUUUUGUUGUUUCUCUGUGGAUGCAAGUGAGACUUGUUUCUCUGCUUCUAUAACGUGGCAGGUGAUUUUUGACAUGUUCCAUGAUCCUUCAGUGCCUCAAGUUGAAUGUAUCGGCUGUCCACUAAAGAACUGGACAAGCUCUUGCUUUUGUUGACCAUCACACGCGCACACAUUUGAGCGCCUGCGCGCUUAAAAUAUGAUACAUCCUGCUGUGUUAUACUAUAGGAAUAGUUUUUUCUAGCAACAAUUUUUCCUUGGCACAGACACCCUAUAAUGGAUGACGGUGACAUUUUGUGUCUUUUAGCGUUGAAAGCAGCUCCUCUGACGUUUUCAUCUCCCCUUGGUAGCUUCUGGAAAAGAAGGUAGCGCUUGGAACCAGGAAAGAAAGUAGUAGCUGAGUUGAUCAUGAGUGAGCUGUGUACAUUGGUUACUGGAACAAUGGAACUGUUUGAGGGGAAAUUACACUGCAAAUCUUCACAAUCAAGGCUCUUUCUUGGCAGUUGGCAUUGAAACAGGGAAAACAAACCUAUUGUGAUCGGCUUCCUCAAAAUUGAUGUCCAGUGUCUCAGGCACAGAACCAUCGUGUAUGCAGUAUUGUCAUGGCAUUGCAUGAAUCUAAGCUUGCUUCUAUAAUCAUAUCUCAUAUGGUCCUGGCUUCUUGCUAGAGUUUGUCGGAGAAGAAAGGAAACGAUCAUAUCCAAAGGCAGAGAACUGCAACAUAUUAUACUUGCCAGUGUCUUUUCUCGGUCGUGGUAGAAUGGUUCCAGAAAUUGCUGUCUAGAAUUUAGGUUCGGGUAUUCGAAAUUGCUUCCAGCGAGCAUUGCGUGGUCACUGUGUGGGGUUCAAGUCCGUGUUCCUGCACAGCUUGCUAGAUCAUCUAUUCCACUACGUGCAUCUUAUGACUAGUUAAAACACAAAUCAUUAAAAGCUAGAUCAUUCUUUCCACAGCAUGAGCUAUAGAUUGACAAUUCCGUUUUCCAUCGGUUUUUGCUGGUCCUUGAGUGAUUGCCCCUGCAUCUGACAAGACGUAUUUGUGUCUUCCAGGAUCAUGCCGCCUCAGGCUAAACAAUGUUUAACUAAAUCAUAAAGAAGGUUCCGGGUGUUGGAAUGCUGGGCAUGUCAAGGCAUUGGGGCCAAUUUUCAUGCAUUGAAAGAAAAACAGAAAGGACUUGUGAUCUACCAGGCAUUUCCAGUCAUCUUCGCGGUUCUCACGUGGAUGCAAGUUUCGUGUUAGAGGCUUUAGGCCCACCUUUUCA